UUUUCCCGGCCAAUAUCACCCCAUGAACAGCUGUGUCUGCAAGACCACCAUAGUCGGAUCUUGAGCACACAGCUUUGCGCGGAACUCUGUUUUUCAGGUAAUGGAGGAUGAAUCUUGUGAUGAUCAAGCUGUUGUUAUGAAUCCCAUAUGCCUCCCAAUUCUUGAUGAAACUUUCAAUUAUUACAGGAGAUAAUAAGGCUAAGUCAUUGAACCACCACUGGUUGCCUGAGGAUGAAAACGGUUUUCUCGACUCGGGAGUGGUUUUGGAAGAGGAGAGUCUGAACCCAGAUGCAGUUUCUGGAGAAGAAGACGAAGACGAAGAAGAAGCAAUCAGGUUUGUAUCAGAAUGUUGAGUAAUCUUUGCUAAUAAGCCAUAGAUGAGCUUCUGGACAAGGCCUGAUGAAUCUGCAUAUGUGAAAAAGCACUCACAGCUCUUGAGACUUGCGAGUAUAUCAUUCCAUGACCAGUCAAAAAUUCCUUCAAGAAAGAUCUCUGUCUGUUUCAAGAGAUUGCAAUUUGAGACUUUAUCU
RNAcentral lists this long non-coding RNA (530 nucleotides) under Manihot esculenta (cassava). Its description in RNAcentral is "long non-coding RNA (MESC_LNC008952)". The record is from RNAcentral. Lineage: Eukaryota; Viridiplantae; Streptophyta; Magnoliopsida; Malpighiales; Euphorbiaceae.